CGACAGACAUGCUUCCGACAGCAAGCACGUGCGAUAUGCGGAGUACAGCUAGCUGUGCAGCAUUAACCAGAAUGGAGGAUGGCCCAAGCUUUUCAUCUACCAAUGGCAGUGCUGAAUGCACAGUUGCUGAUGGGACAGAUGCCUUUAACCCUGCACACAAGAAAGAGGUUAAAAGUCGUGGCUUGCUUCGCCUCGAGAAACUCAGGAGACAUCAUAGUGUAUGUGAGCAACGCUACGAGAGGGCACAAAUUAAAAGGUUAAACGACCAGAGGGAGAGGACCUUGUUUCUACACCGUAGCCUCGAUACGAAGAUGGAACAGCAGUUGUCCAGUGACAGCGACAGUUCCAUUAUCAUUAAACCCACUUCAGCUGAUUCUGACGUGGAUACAAGUGUACCUGAGCUCAGAAGGACAGACAGUGUUAUUCUUACCAGACAAAUGCUUGGAUGCCCACCUAUAUCAAGUACGGACAUCAGUGAGGAAGAAUAUGUUCCUCAAACUGCUGAAGAAAGUGACAGUUCUGCAGAAAGUCUCAUACAACACAAAAGAAAGAAGAAAAAAGCACGGAAAACUACUUCAGGUAACUCUCAGGAAGAUGUCCGACAACUGAAGAGAAGGUGUACCCGAACUCAAUGCAAUUCCUCAAAUUCAAAUGCUAAAGAAUCCUCUUCACUUGAUUCAGAAGACAGAAACACAUCUGCUUCAUUUGAUGACACCAGAGAGUCCUCUUCACCUGAUUGUUCUGAUGUGACGGUUAUGACACUGAAGAAGAAGAAACAUGGUGGCAGAUUGUACAACAAAAAGUUCUACUGCAAGUUUUGCUGUAAACCUUUCAGCAAGAUGGCACGCCAUUUGCAAUCAAAACACAAAGAUAAACCAGAAGUGGCAAAAGCAAUGGCUUUCCCAGUAGGGUCUAAAGAGCGGAAAAUACAGUUGAGUUUAUUAAGAAAUCAAGGAAACCGUGCCCACAAUAAUGAGGUGAUUAAAAAAGGACAAGGAAUGGUGAUACCUCGUCAACAAUCCAGUGUACCUGUGAAACCCAGUGAUUACUUGCACUGUAUUAAUUGUCAGGGUUACUUCAAGAGAAGGUCACUAUGGAGGCACAUGCAGAGAUGUCAUCUCAGCAGGAAGGUCAAAGGUUUAAGGCCAGGAACAUCUAGAGUCCAGGCUACGUGUAAAUAUGCAGAGCCAGUCCCAGACAGUGUCAAUGCACAAUUUUGGAAAUUGGUACAAGUCAUGCAUGAUGAUGAGAUAACAAAUGUUGUCCGCAAAGAGAGUUGCAUACUGAAAUUUGGGGAGCAUCUUUUCAAUAAGCAUGGACAUGAUGUCACUAAACACGACUAUAUCAGACAGAAGAUGCGUGAGACAGGGCGACUGGUGCUCCAAGGACAGAAAAAUGGCAAGUUGAAAAUGGUGUCUGAUUUCUUUGUACCAGGUAAUUUCCCUCAUGUUAUUGCAGCAGUGAAAAAUGUUGCUGGCUUGAAUGAGGAAACAAACACAUACAAAACACCAUCUUUGGCACUGAAGUUAGGCCACAAUCUCAAGAAAAUAGCAGAUGUUCUAGAAUGUGAAGCAAUGAUCGCUGGUGAUGAGAAUACUAUUCGCAAUGUAAAGGUGUUCAAGCAAAUCUGUGACACUAAAUGGAGUGAGUGCAUAUCAUCUAAGGCUCUCCGAAAUCUGACUGAGGCAAAAUGGAAUACUCCACAACUUCUUCCCUUUACUGAAGAUGUGAAGAAGAUGCACCAGUAUCUCAACAUACAACGGACGGAGUGUCAUACGAAGCUCAAAGAAGAACCAAAUAAGAAGCACUGGGCAGAACUUGCAAAAAUCACAUUGUGUGAAGUGAUUAUCUUCAACCGUAGAAGAGAAGGAGAAGUUUCCAAAAUGACUCUUAAUGCUUUCACAUUGAGAGACACUUCAUUGACUCAUCCAGAUGUUGAAUUGGCUUUAACUGACCUGGAAAAGAAGCUUUGUAGGCACUUCCAACGAAUAGAGAUAAAAGGCAAACGUGGAAGAAAAGUCCCCAUACUCCUCACACCUGAUAUGAUGACAUCAAUGGAUUUGCUCGUUGACACUCGCCGAAAUUGUGAAGUAUUAGAUGAAAAUCCUUUCAUGUUUGCGAGAACGAAAGCACUUACUCACAUCAGAGGGUCAGAUGUUGUUCGACAGAUCGCGCAGAGCUGUGGAGCAAAACAACCAGAAGCAUUGUCCUCUACUAAAUUAAGGAAGCACAUGGCCACCAUGUCCAAGAUCCUUAACUUAAAAGACAAUGAAAUGGAUAAUCUGGCAGACUUCCUUGGCCAUGAUAUUCGAGUGCAUCGCGAAUAUUACAGACUGCCUGAAGGGACGUUACAGCUGGCCAAGAUAAGCAAAGUCCUUAUGGCCAUGGAACGAGGACAGCUGUCAGAUUUCAAAGGAAGAAAUCUUGACGAAAUAAACAUUGAUCCACAAGAGAAUGUAGCUGUUGACAGUGAUGCAUCAAACAGUGAAGAUGAGGAUAACACGAGUGUGACAGAUGCUGCGUCAUCUGCUGCGUCAUCUGCUGCGUCAUCUGCUGCGUCAUCUGCUGCGUCAUCUGCUGCGUCACCUGCUGCGUCACCUGCUGCGUCACCUGC
Astatotilapia calliptera (eastern happy) is the source of this 2614-nucleotide long non-coding RNA. NCBI's taxonomy places the organism in Eukaryota, Metazoa, Chordata, Actinopteri, Cichliformes, Cichlidae. The record is from Ensembl.